Non-coding RNA from Ophiophagus hannah (king cobra), 45 nucleotides. The record is from Rfam. Lineage: Eukaryota; Metazoa; Chordata; Lepidosauria; Squamata; Elapidae.
CAAGAGGCUGUUUUAGCAGCCAUUCAAAAAUGUUACAAUAUUGUA